Astatotilapia calliptera (eastern happy) is the source of this 1311-nucleotide long non-coding RNA. NCBI's taxonomy places the organism in Eukaryota, Metazoa, Chordata, Actinopteri, Cichliformes, Cichlidae. The record is from Ensembl.
UAAACAUGUCCCAACAUAUUCAAGUGAAAUAUUGGCCUGAGUUCUCCACGGCUCUAAUAGAGUAAAAAAACACACUGAUGUCCAGUCCAUUUAUGGGUUUCUCGAUCCAACAUGGCAAGGGUGCAGUCUUGAAAGGUCACAUAAGAUUGGGACCUGUCUGUGUUUUGGGGUCAGGUGUUCCUCAUUUUCCUAUACCUCACAGCUUCCAAGUCCUUCUGGAAAAAGAAAUCAACAUUGCGAACAAGCUUGUCUGCUGAUGGGAGCAUGAAGUGCUGAGAAAUCCCCUGGUAGCUGCGUUGACUUUAGAUUUGAUCAAACGUGGCUUCCCAAAUCAUCACAGAGAGUGUGAACACACUGGACUUCUGCUUGUCUCUGCUUUUCCUUCAGACUCUAGGACCUUUAAUUUCUUUUUUUUCCUUCUUUUUUAAUUUAAAAAGAGGUUUUGGACCACACUGUCAAGUCAGCCAUCUUCCUCGUGACUGUGGUUGCCGGUACAGAAUUAGACCAAGAGAGGCUGGAUUACUGAAAUUCUUUCUUUCUUUUUUAUAUGUAUUUUGUUUUUUGCAUUUAUUUGAUUGUACAGUGGAGAGAAUACAGGUUAGCUGGAAAGAAAAACAUGGGGACCAGGUGCAGGAAAUUGCCUCAGAGUAAAUUCAAACCCAGGCCUAUGUGUUAUCCUGGUUGCAUAUGGGCCACCUGCUUGAUUCAGUGACCUAAACUAGUCCCCCGGGUAUUACUGGGCUUUAAAUGGAUUGGCACCUUCAUAGUUCUCCGACCUUUUCCACCUUUAUGUUCCAUCCUGUGCUCUACAAUCUCAGGAUUCUGGCCUUCUAAAGGUUCCUAGAACCAGAAAAAAGACAGUUGGGGAGCGUGCUUUUUCUUUUCGUGCCCCAUUCUUGUGGAACAACCUCCCUCAAGAUAUUAGGCAGGCAUGCUCUGUGGAGGUUUUUAAAACUAAGUUGAAGACACAUUUGUUCACCCUAUCUUACAUGUCUUAAUUCUAUGGCUUUUAGUUUAAAUUUAAAUUUUUAUUGUUUUUAACUUCUAUUGUGCUUUUACUUGUACUGCUUUUUAUCGCUUUUAUUCAUUCAUCUUUGUAGUUUCAAAUAGCUGUACAGCACUUUGUUUGAAAGCGCUUUAUAAAUAAAGUUAUUAUUAUUAUUAUUAUUAUUACUGAAUUCUGAUUUUCAUGAGCUGUGAGCCAUAAUUUAAAAAAAGGCUACACAUGUUUUAGUUUACAUGUAAUGAAUAUAGGAAAUACACAAUCUAUAUUUUCUAUCUUUUCAAAUUAAAUUAUCAACCAAAAUAUAC